UGAUAUAUUGUUAUCACCAGUAGUGUAUAACUGCUAGCCUUUUCCUUGUUUACUCGUGUUUUUCCAAUAUCGUGACUAUUUUCGGCUAUCUCAAAGUAAUUUACAGGCUAAUCCGGCAAAAACGCCGCUAAGCAAAUAGUUAGGCCAGCGCGCGGUUGUUCACUUGCGCUAUCAGAUGAGCCUAGGUCGGAUUAGCUAGUUGGUGGGGUAAUGGCUCACCAAGGCCACGAUCCCUAACUGGUCUGAGAGGAUGAUCAUUCACACUGGAACUGAAACACGGUCCAGACUCCUACUGGAGGCAGCAGUGGGGAAUAUUGAACAAUGGGCGAAAGCCUGAUCCAGCCAUGCCCCGUGUGUGAAGAAGGUCUUCGGAUUGUAAAGCACUUUAACUUGGGAGGAAGGGCAAUAAGCGAAUACCUUGCUGUUUUGACGUUACCGACAGAAUAAGCACCGGCUAACUCUGUGCCAGCAGCCGCGGUAAUACAGAGGGUGCAGGCGUUAAUCGGAAUUACUGGGCGUAAAGCGCGCGUAGGUGGUUUGUUAAUUUGAAUGUGAAAGCCCCGGGCUCAACCUGGGAACUGCAUCUGAAACUGGCAAGCUAGAGUACGGUACAGGGUGGUGGAAUUUCCUGUGUAGGGUGAAAUGCAUAUAUAUAGGAAGGAACACCAGUGGCGAAGGCGACCACCUGGACUGAUACUGACACUGACGUGCGAAAGCGUGAGGAGCAAACACGAUUAGAUACCCUGGUAGUCCACGCCGUAAACGAUGUCACUAGCCGUUGGAAUCCUUGACAUUUUAGUGUCGCAGCUAACGCAUUAAGUUGACCGCCUGGGAGUACGGCCGCAAGGUUAAACUCAAAUGAAUUGACGUGGCCCGCACAAGCGGUGGAGCAUGUGGAUGUAGUUCUAAUGCACGCGAACGACCCAUUACCAUGUACUUGAUCAUGCACAUGCACCUAUACAUUAGAUGGAUUGUGUCUUCGGCGUACUCUGACUACAGAUGCUGCAUGGGCUGUCGUCAGCUCGUGCUC
Molecule: ribosomal RNA, 1030 nt
Filed under: Pseudomonas putida
Lineage: Bacteria; Pseudomonadati; Pseudomonadota; Gammaproteobacteria; Pseudomonadales; Pseudomonadaceae
Description: bacterial SSU rRNA
Rfam family: Bacterial small subunit ribosomal RNA
Source: RNAcentral